CCAAUAGCGUAUAUUAAAGUUGUUGCAGUUAAAAAGCUCGUAGUUGAAUUUCGGGAUCAAUAUGUCGGUCGUGCCUUCGGUACGUACUGGCGUWAUUGGUUUCUCCCUUCUGAAGAACCGCGAUGUCAUUAAUUUGGUGUCGUGGGGAAUCAGGACUGUUACUUUGAAAAAAUUAGAGUGUUUAAAGCAGGCUCGCGCUUGAAUACAUUAGCAUGGAAUAAUGAAAUAGGACGUUUGAUUCUAUUUUGUUGGUUUCUAGGAUCGACGUAAUGAUUAAUAGGGAUAGUUGGGGGCAUUAGUAUUCAAUUGUCAGAGGUGAAAUUCUUGGAUUUAUUGAAGACUAACUACUGCGAAAGCAUUUGCCAAGGAUGUUUUCAUUAAUCAAGAACGAAAGUUAGGGGAUCGAAGACGAUCAGAUACCGUCGUAGUCUUAACCAUAAACUAUGCCGACGACUAGGGAUUCGGUAAUGAUUGUUAGUWUUUWAAUDACUCAUGUUCGGCGUACGGUAA
RNAcentral lists this ribosomal RNA (510 nucleotides) under uncultured Glomeromycotina. Its description in RNAcentral is "SSU rRNA". It matches the Rfam family "Eukaryotic small subunit ribosomal RNA", at positions 593 to 1107 of the family's 1831-position model. Lineage: Eukaryota; Fungi; Glomeromycota. The record is from RNAcentral.